This 858-nucleotide ribosomal RNA is filed under the name Bacillus subtilis. RNAcentral describes it as "bacterial SSU rRNA". It matches the Rfam family "Bacterial small subunit ribosomal RNA", at positions 30 to 874 of the family's 1533-position model. Lineage: Bacteria; Bacillati; Bacillota; Bacilli; Caryophanales; Bacillaceae. The record is from RNAcentral.
CGUGAGCUGCAGCGUGCCUAAUACAUGCAAGUCGAGGGGCAUAGAUGGGAGCUUGCUCCCUGAUGUUAGCGGCGGACGGGUGAGUAACACGUGGGUAACCUGCCUGUAAGACUGGGAUAACUCCGGGAAACCGGGGCUAAUACCGGAUGGUUGUCUGAACCGCAUGGUUCAGACAUAAAAGGUGGCUUCGGCUACCACUUACAGAUGGACCCGCGGCGCAUUAGCUAGUUGGUGAGGUAACGGCUCACCAAGGCGACGAUGCGUAGCCGACCUGAGAGGGUGAUCGGCCACACUGGGACUGAGACACGGCCCAGACUCCUACGGGAGGCAGCAGUAGGGAAUCUUCCGCAAUGGACGAAAGUCUGACGGAGCAACGCCGCGUGAGUGAUGAAGGUUUUCGGAUCGUAAAGCUCUGUUGUUAGGGAAGAACAAGUGCCGUUCAAAUAGGGCGGCACCUUGACGGUACCUAACCAGAAAGCCACGGCUAACUACGUGCCAGCAGCCGCGGUAAUACGUAGGUGGCAAGCGUUGUCCGGAAUUAUUGGGCGUAAAGGGCUCGCAGGCGGUUUCUUAAGUCUGAUGUGAAAGCCCCCGGCUCAACCGGGGAGGGUCAUUGGAAACUGGGGAACUUGAGUGCAGAAGAGGAGAGUGGAAAUUCCACGUGUAGCGGUGAAAUGCGUAGAGAUGUGGAGGAACACCAGUGGCGAAAGCGACUCUCUGGUCUGUAACUGACGCUGAGAGCGAAAGCGUGGGGAGCGAACAGAUUAGAUACCGCUGGUAGUCCACGCCGUAACGAUGAUGCUAAGUGUUAGGGGUUCCGCCCCUUAUGCUGCAGCUAACGCAUUAGUCACUCCGCCU